CCUACGGGAGGCAGCAGUGGGGAAUAUUGGACAAUGGGGGGAACCCUGAUCCAGCCAUGCCGCGUGUGUGAAGAAGGCCCUCGGGUUGUAAAGCACUUUCAGUGAGGAAGAACGCCUGGUGGUUAAUACCCAUCAGGAAAGACAUCACUCACAGAAGAAGCACCGGCUAACUCCGUGCCAGUAGCCGCGGUAAUACGGAGGGUGCGAGCGUUAAUCGGAAUUACUGGGCGUAAAGCGCGCGUAGGUGGCUUGAUAAGCCGGUUGUGAAAGCCCCGGGCUCAACCUGGGAACGGCAUCCGGAACUGUCAAGCUAGAGUGCAGGAGAGGAAGGUAGAAUUCCCGGUGUAGCGGUGAAAUGCGUAGAGAUCGGGAGGAAUACCAGUGGCGAAGGCGGCCUUCUGGACUGACACUGACACUGAGGUGCGAAAGCGUGGGUAGCAAACAGGAUUAGAUACCCCUGUAGUC
RNAcentral lists this ribosomal RNA (465 nucleotides) under Vreelandella stevensii. Its description in RNAcentral is "partial 16S ribosomal RNA". It matches the Rfam family "Bacterial small subunit ribosomal RNA", at positions 338 to 795 of the family's 1533-position model. Lineage: Bacteria; Pseudomonadati; Pseudomonadota; Gammaproteobacteria; Oceanospirillales; Halomonadaceae. The record is from RNAcentral.